RNAcentral lists this transfer RNA (75 nucleotides) under Aromatoleum petrolei. RNAcentral describes it as "tRNA-Val". The record is from RNAcentral. Lineage: Bacteria; Pseudomonadati; Pseudomonadota; Betaproteobacteria; Rhodocyclales; Rhodocyclaceae.
CCCAGUGUGGCGAAGAGGCGCGAUUGUAGAGGGACGCGAAUUCCUUCGUCAAGCAUGGCGGGAGACUUUUCUUAU